This 363-nucleotide transfer-messenger RNA is filed under the name Escherichia coli. Its description in RNAcentral is "Standard tmRNA". It matches the Rfam family "transfer-messenger RNA". Rfam says of the family: Bacterial tmRNA, also known as 10Sa RNA or SsrA, is named for its dual tRNA and mRNA-like properties. Lineage: Bacteria; Pseudomonadati; Pseudomonadota; Gammaproteobacteria; Enterobacterales; Enterobacteriaceae. The record is from RNAcentral.
GGGGCUGAUUCUGGAUUCGACGGGAUUUGCGAAACCCAAGGUGCAUGCCGAGGGGCGGUUGGCCUCGUAAAAAGCCGCAAAAAAUAGUCGCAAACGACGAAAACUACGCUUUAGCAGCUUAAUAACCUGCUUAGAGCCCUCUCUCCCUAGCCUCCGCUCUUAGGACGGGGAUCAAGAGAGGUCAAACCCAAAAGAGAUCGCGUGGAAGCCUUGCCUGGGGUUGAAGCGUUAAAACUUAAUCAGGCUAGUUUGUUAGUGGCGUGUCCGUCCGCAGCUGGCAAGCGAAUGUAAAGACUGACUAAGCAUGUAGUACCGAGGAUGUAGGAAUUUCGGACGCGGGUUCAACUCCCGCCAGCUCCACCA